RNAcentral lists this microRNA precursor (95 nucleotides) under Canis lupus dingo (dingo). RNAcentral describes it as "mir-8834 microRNA precursor family". It matches the Rfam family "mir-8834 microRNA precursor family". Lineage: Eukaryota; Metazoa; Chordata; Mammalia; Carnivora; Canidae. The record is from Rfam by way of RNAcentral.
AGGAGCAACAGCCCCAGUGGCGGGGCCGCUCUGGAAACCUGGAUUCAGCUCCGGCAGGAACUCCAGAGCUCUCCGUCUACAUGCUCCGGGGCGGG